AGAGUUUGAUCAUGGCUCAGGAUCAACGCUGGCGGCGUGCCUAAUGCAUGCAAGUCGCACGGGACACCUUCGGGUGUUCAGUGGCGAACGGCUGAGGAACACGUGCGUAUCUGCCUUUCCGUGGGGAAUAACGGGUGGAAACACCCGCUAAUACCGCGUACGCUUGCUUCGGCAAGGAAAGCCCUUCGGGGCGCGGGGAGAGGAGCGCGCGGCCCAUCAGGUAGAUGGCGGGGUAAUGGCCCACCAUGCCGGUGACGGGUCGCUGGUCUGUGAGGAUGACCAGCCAGACUGGGACUGCGACACGGCCCAGACACCUACGGGUGGCAGCAGCAAGGAAUCUUCGGCAAUGGGCGCAAGCCUGACCGAGCAACGCCGCGUGGAGGACGACGGCCUUCGGGUUGUAAACUCCUUUUCUGUGGGAUGAACACGGACAGUACCGCAGGAAUAAGCCCCGGCUAACUCUGUGCCAGCAGCCGCGGUAAUACAGAGGGGGCAAGCGUUGUCCGGACUUACUGGGCGUACAGCGCGCGCAGGUGGUCGGCUAAGUUCGUGGUGACAGCGUGCGGCUCAACCGCACACGGUCCAGGGAGACUGGUCGACUAGAGGCAUCGAGAGGGAUACGGAAUACCCGGUGGAGCGGUGAAAUGCGUAGAGAUCGGGUGGAACACCCGUGGCGAAAGCGCUCUGCUGGACUGCAACUGACAUUGAGGGACGAAAGCUAGGGGAGCGAAUGGGAUUAGAUACCCCCGUAGUCC
RNAcentral lists this ribosomal RNA (755 nucleotides) under uncultured Chloroflexota bacterium. RNAcentral's name for it is "bacterial SSU rRNA". It matches the Rfam family "Bacterial small subunit ribosomal RNA", at positions 8 to 796 of the family's 1533-position model. Lineage: Bacteria; Bacillati; Chloroflexota. The record is from RNAcentral.